UGCAAGUCGUACGCACUGGCCCAACUGAUUGAUGGUGCUUGCACCUGAUUGACGAUGGAUCACCAGUGAGUGGCGGACGGGUGAGUAACACGUAGGUAACCUGCCCCGGAGCGGGGGAUAACAUUUGGAAACAGAUGCUAAUACCGCAUAACAACAAAAGCCGCAUGGCUUUUGUUUGAAAGAUGGCUUUGGCUAUCACUCUGGGAUGGACCUGCGGUGCAUUAGCUAGUUGGUAAGGUAACGGCUUACCAAGGCGAUGAUGCAUAGCCGAGUUGAGAGACUGAUCGGCCACAAUGGAACUGAGACACGGUCCAUACUCCUACGGGAGGCAGCAGUAGGGAAUCUUCCACAAUGGGCGCAAGCCUGAUGGAGCAACACCGCGUGAGUGAAGAAGGGUUUCGGCUCGUAAAGCUCUGUUGUUGGAGAAGAACGUGCGUGAGAGUAACUGUUCACGCAGUGACGGUAUCCAACCAGAAAGUCACGGCUAACUACGUGCCAGCAGCCGCGGUAAUACGUAGGUGGCAAGCGUUAUCCGGAUUUAUUGGGCGUAAAGCGAGCGCAGGCGGUUGCUUAGGUCUGAUGUGAAAGCCUUCGGCUUAACCGAAGAAGUGCAUCGGAAACCGGGCGACUUGAGUGCAGAAGAGGACAGUGGAACUCCAUGUGUAGCGGUGGAAUGCGUAGAUAUAUGGAAGAACACCAGUGGCGAAGGCGGCUGUCUGGUCUGCAACUGACGCUGAGGCUCGAAAGCAUGGGUAGCGAACAGGAUUAGAUACCCUGGUAGUCCAUGCCGUAAACGAUGAGUGCUAGGUGUUGGAGGGUUUCCGCCCUUCAGUGCCGGAGCUAACGCAUUAAGCACUCCGCCUGGGGAGUACGACCGCAAGGUUGAAACUCAAAGGAAUUGACGGGGGCCCGCACAAGCGGUGGAGCAUGUGGUUUAAUUCGAAGCUACGCGAAGAACCUUACCAGGUCUUGACAUCUUGCGCUAACCUUAGAGAUAAGGCGUUCCCUUCGGGGACGCAAUGACAGGUGGUGCAUGGUCGUCGUCAGCUCGUGUCGUGAGAUGUUGGGUUAAGUCCCGCAACGAGCGCAACCCUUGUUACUAGUUGCCAGCAUUGAGUUGGGCACUCUAGUGAGACUGCCGGUGACAAACCGGAGGAAGGUGGGGACGACGUCAGAUCAUCAUGCCCCUUAUGACCUGGGCUACACACGUGCUACAAUGGACGGUACAACGAGUCGCAAACUCGCGAGAGUAAGCUAAUCUCUUAAAGCCGUUCUCAGUUCGGACUGUAGGCUGCAACUCGCCUACACGAAGUCGGAAUCGCUAGUAAUCGCGGAUCAGCAUGCCGCGGUGAAUACGUUCCCGGGCCUUGUACACACCGCCCGUCACACCAUGGGAGUUUGUAACGCCCAAAGUCGGUGGCCUAACCUUUAUGGAGGGAGCCGCCUAA
This 1448-nucleotide ribosomal RNA is filed under the name Lactobacillus sp. Akhmro1. RNAcentral describes it as "bacterial SSU rRNA". It matches the Rfam family "Bacterial small subunit ribosomal RNA". The record is from RNAcentral. Lineage: Bacteria; Bacillati; Bacillota; Bacilli; Lactobacillales; Lactobacillaceae.